GAUGAACGCUGGCGGCGUGCCUAAUACAUGCAAGUCGAGCGAACAGACGAGGAGCUUGCUCCUCUGACGUUAGCGGCGGACGGGUGAGUAACACGUGGAUAACCUACCUAUAAGACUGGGAUAACUUCGGGAAACCGGAGCUAAUACCGGAUAAUAUAUUGAACCGCAGGGUUCAAUAGUGAAAGACGGUUUUGCUGUCACUUAUAGAUGGAUCCGCGCCGCAUUAGCUAGUUGGUAAGGUAACGGCUUACCAAGGCUACGAUGCGUAGCCGACCUGAGAGGGUGAUCGGCCACACUGGAACUGAGACACGGUCCAGACUCCUACGGGAGGCAGCAGUAGGGAAUAUUCCGCAAUGGGCGAAAGCUUGACGGAGCAACGCCGCGUGAGUGAUGAAGGUCUUCGGAUCGUAAAACUCUGUUAUUAGGGAAGAACAGAUGUGUAAGUAACUAUGCACGUCUUGACGGUACCUAAUCAGAAAGCCACGGCUAACUACGUG
RNAcentral lists this ribosomal RNA (497 nucleotides) under uncultured bacterium. RNAcentral's name for it is "partial 16S ribosomal RNA". It matches the Rfam family "Bacterial small subunit ribosomal RNA", at positions 28 to 507 of the family's 1533-position model. The record is from RNAcentral.